This is a long non-coding RNA of Spinacia oleracea (spinach), 2225 nucleotides long. RefSeq lists it as uncharacterized. The transcript has 3 exons. The record is from RefSeq and is a predicted model, not a curated record. Lineage: Eukaryota; Viridiplantae; Streptophyta; Magnoliopsida; Caryophyllales; Amaranthaceae.
CUUUCUAUAACCACGUGAACUUCUCUUCUUCCAUUUCUCCUUUCUCUGCUCCCCUUUCUCAUUUAGUUCAUCUUCUCAAAUAUGAGAGAGGUGUUCUCCUCUUCGAUCUCACCUUCUCUUUCACGCUAUUGAAUAAAUUUCGAUUUCGAUUUCGAUUUCGAUUUGAUUUAAGAUUUUCGAUUUAAUUUAUAAUUUUCGGUUUUUUGGGGUUUUGAUGUUUCAGAUGAGGUUACAAUUCCGAUCAUAUGAUCCUAUCCAACCUAUCUCAUUCGUUCUACUACAAAGGAAUUUCAGGUAUUUUCUUCUUAUCUUCCCUCAAUUUAUGAUUGUUAAGAUUUUUUCUAGGUCUAAGUACUUCGGUUUAUAAUUUCUAUGUCGGUAAUAUCCGGAGUAGUUGUUGUUGCAGUAGUGAUGGUAAGGACAGUUGAUUGGGUCAAUAGUUUCUUUUAGCUGCCAUUUAUUGCAUUUGAAGAAGGUCCCUUCGAUUUCCCCCUCUUGUAUCGUAGAAAGAAAGGCUGAGUUUCUAGAGAGGAGUAAUACAUUUUCUUUUUGUAUUUUGCAUAUUAGAGAGCAUUAAUCUUCUUACUUGUAAGUUUGAUUUAUAUGAAUUUUUCUUUGGUUUUGAGUUUUAACUCUGGAAGGGAAAGGUGGGCCUUCCUUCAAAUGGUUGAGCAGGAGGUUUUGAUGUUCAAAAAUUAGGAAAUUGGGACAGUAGAAAGAUAAGGGUCAAAUGAUUGAUAUUUGGGGUCAGUUAUGCUUCAAGGACGAUGGAAUUCAGAUAUAUCUUUUCUUAUUGGCGGAUUUCACCAGGAAGUCUUGAAGUGAAAGGUCAAUUGAUGUUAUCAUGCUUCUGUUAUGAUAUUAUAGGUUUUGUUAUCGUCACUUUGUUUAUAUUUAUAUCAGUUUUCUGAUAUGGGGUCUGUUUUUGAGGUCUUGAAGUUUGAAUAUUGUUUACCAUAUCAUAAAAACCACAAGAUAUGUCUGGGAUUUCUAAUCUGGACUUUAUAUAGUGAUAUCAUAUGAAAUCUUGACCUUUCUAUAGUCACAUGCUUUGUAGUUUUCGAUCAAUAACAAAGGGCAUAUUAUUAUAGAGGAAUUGUAGGUUUGGUAUGCAAGAUAUGCGUGUUUGGUGGGGUUGUAUAUCGUUCAUGUAAGAAGGUAAUGAAGUUAGUGGUUUUUAGGCAAUAGUUUAUCUGAUGAAAAUAUGAUUGGUUGUCCUUCGUUAUUGAUCCAAAAUUAGUGGUUUUUAGGCAGUAGGCAAGGUAUUACGUUUAUGGUUAACCAACUGGUGUAAUCAUGUAUUCCCGUUUCAAUUAUUGUAUUAUGAAUAUGAAUAUAACUAAGAGAUAGCUUGAGAGUUAGAGAAAAGAAGAGGUAAUAGAAAUAAAAGGAUGGUUUUGAAAUAUUGUUUGACGUAGUAACUUGAUUGUGAAUGCGUUUAUUUAGAACCUACGGGCUAAGGAUCUGAUGGUGUUGAACUUUGGUUAAAGGAAAUAUUAAUGUCACUUGAGUGUCCCUUUACGUAUUUUUGAAUAUGCAGUUGUAGUGAGAAUCAUUUAUUAUAUAAUUGUACUCGCUUUUGUGGUGGUAGAUUUGAAUUAGGUGUAGAAAUAUGGGUGAUAGUGAUAUUUUGGCGUCGGUUCGCUCUGUGGUGUUCAAGGAGUCAGAAACCCUAGAAGGGAAAUGCAUUAAGACUGAGAGUUAUACCCAGCUUUUUAAAUCGUUUGUCUCCACCGGUUUCCAAGCAUCGAAUCUCGGAGAAGCUAUUGAUGUUGUUAAUGAAAUGAUUGACGACUGGAAAAUGAGAUAGCAACUGAAGAUUGCAGCGAGGAAGAGAGGGAUCCUGGUUUUAGGGAGUCUGUGAGGUGUAAAAUAUUCUUAGGUUUUACGUCCAAUCUUAUCUCUUCCGGUGCCGUGACACUGUAUGAUAUCUUGUUCAGCAUCAUAUGGUGAGAUAAGCUUCAAAGUUUUUCUAAUAUGCUUUGUUUUUUCCCCCCUCUCAUUUGAACAUGAUUUGGGACUAAGGUUUUGUUGUUGUUGUUGUGUUCUCAUUUGAACAUGAAAAGGAUGUGGACUUAGCUGUUCCAGACUUCCAAUUAUAUCUUUCAGUCGAUUGACUGCUUAAAAUUUUCUUCGGUACUCUUGUAGUCUUGUUUAGGGAAUAUAUGUAUAAGAUUGAAGUAAAACAAUAGAGUGGCAAAUAACAUGCGUGCACAUAGAUUGUA